GACGAACGCUGGCGGCGUGCCUAAUACAUGCAAGUAGAACGCUGAAGAGAGGAGCUUGCUCUUCUUGGAUGAGUUGCGAACGGGUGAGUAACGCGUAGGUAACCUGCCUUGUAGCGGGGGAUAACUAUUGGAAACGAUAGCUAAUACCGCAUAACAAUGGAUGACACAUGUCAUUUAUUUGAAAGGGGCAAUUGCUCCACUACAAGAUGGACCUGCGUUGUAUUAGCUAGUAGGUGAGGUAACGGCUCACCUAGGCGACGAUACAUAGCCGACCUGAGAGGGUGAUCGGCCACACUGGGACUGAGACACGGCCCAGACUCCUACGGGAGGCAGCAGUAGGGAAUCUUCGGCAAUGGGGGCAACCCUGACCGAGCAACGCCGCGUGAGUGAAGAAGGUUUUCGGAUCGUAAAGCUCUGUUGUAAGUCAAGAACGAGUGUGAGAGUAGAAAGUUCACACUGUGACGGUAGCUUACCAGAAAGGGACGGCUAACUACGUG
Molecule: ribosomal RNA, 497 nt
Filed under: uncultured bacterium
Lineage: Bacteria
Description: partial 16S ribosomal RNA
Rfam family: Bacterial small subunit ribosomal RNA
Source: RNAcentral